This 539-nucleotide unclassified non-coding RNA is filed under the name Hevea brasiliensis (rubber tree). Lineage: Eukaryota; Viridiplantae; Streptophyta; Magnoliopsida; Malpighiales; Euphorbiaceae. The record is from RNAcentral.
AUGUGGUGUCUCUGUGAUUAGGAGGUACUGAUGUGGUCUCAAAUCUCAAAAACAGUGAAUGAAUAGUUCCAUCUUUGUUUUAAGUACUGAUUUAUUCCUUCUGUUUAACAUAAUAAUGACUUACUAGUAUGCUUUACUGCCUUAAUUUUUUUUGUCACCCGUGGCCAUAAUAUAGAAGUCUGGGAAAUGGCUACUAAUUUGCUGUUACUCAUCAUGUUUUUCUGUGUGAGUGGUACCAAAUGCAGUUGCAAUGUUGUAGUAAUAUUCCUAGUCAGACUCUGCUUGUUACCUGACUUAUGAAACAACUUAUUUCCUGUUAACAUGAAAAUGCAGUUUUUAUUUUUGAAGUUGAUUUUUUGUAAUCAGAUAAAAAUGGGUAGCCUUAUGAUUGAUGGUUCAUUAUAGUUUGCUUAGAGGAGGGAAUUGGGUUAACUGAAUUGGAAUGCAAAGCGUCACUGAAUGCAGCUUUGUUAACAAUCUUUCCCUCUUUUUACAUGUUAUGAGGUUCUUCCUGAUGUUUUUGCUUAUUACAUGUCAAA